Molecule: ribosomal RNA, 253 nt
Filed under: uncultured bacterium
Lineage: Bacteria
Description: partial 16S ribosomal RNA
Rfam family: Bacterial small subunit ribosomal RNA
Source: RNAcentral
GACAGAGGUGCCGAGCGUUAGGCGGAAUCACUGGGCUUAAAGCGUGUGUAGGCGGACUUGUAAGUACCUUGUGAAAUCCCACAGCUCAACCGUGGAACGGCUGGGUAUACUGGCGGUCUUGGGCCAUUCAGGGGCGACUGGAACAAGCGGUGGAGCGGUGAAAUGCGUAGAUAUCGCUUGGAACGCCGAAGGUGAAAACAGGUCGCUGGGGAUGUGCCGACGCUGAGACACGAAAGCCAGGGGAGCAAACGGG